This 1117-nucleotide long non-coding RNA is filed under the name Oryza sativa Indica Group (long-grained rice). Its description in RNAcentral is "lncRNA OsZS97_12G011480". The record is from RNAcentral. Lineage: Eukaryota; Viridiplantae; Streptophyta; Magnoliopsida; Poales; Poaceae.
AUACCUUUUAUGUUCAAACUACCUGGUGUAUUAUUAUGUUGGAAAAUAAAUAAGGUGGUCAUGGCUACCAGGGAACAAAGCGAAGAUACCGAAGACUGUGACAACGAUGUUGUCAUAUUGGGUAGUCAUCAACGGAAAUUCAUCGCUAUAAGGAACAUCAAUGAAACAAAAGAAACAACCAAAAAAUAGAGUUUACUACUCUCUGAGGUAACUAUGAUGAGUAAACAAGAGUUGAUAAGCGGCCUUUUGCACUACAUCGUCCAGAUUAAUUGCACCGAAGCCAUAGAGAAAGUAUGGCUUCAAUCAGUACUAAAGAAAGAUGAGCCAUUGGAAAGUGAUUGCUUCAACAUGGCUAUACGCAUUUUAUUCUCUAUUGCUCAUGUUAUUGCCUGGACUUGCAAUAUCGAAUAUAUUGACUUCUCUAUUGCUUAUAGUGAAGAUUUUAUUAAAAUCAUGUAUAUUGCUAGUGGCUUUGGUAAAUCCCCAGUCCACCAUGACAACAUAGAUGUUGCAAAGACCAUUCCUAUACCAGUACACCAUGCUCGAAGCUUUAUCUUUGUCAUACUGGACCAUGAAAAAUAUAAAAAUAACCCAAACAUGAGGUACAUCGUAAAACUGUUAACUAUUGCUGAUCACAUCAACAAAGCUACGUGGAAGGCACGCCCUUGCUCUAGGUGGAAUAAAGACAUCACCUUGUGGAGGCAAAUAAUGGUCAAUAAUCCGGUUCUUGACAGGUGUCGGCGCGUGGAGGUGGUGCGGCGGCCGGCGUCACCGUGUCGGUGCGUGGUGGUGGUGCGGCGGCAGGCGCCGCCGCGUGGAGGUGGUGCGGCGGCCAGCGUUGCUGCGUGGUCGUCGAGGUGGUGCGGCGACCGGCGUCGCCGCGUCGCCGCGUGGAGGUGGUACGGCGGCCGAGACAGCGAGGCGUCGGCGCCGCUGGCAGAGAUGGCGAGGAGGAAGACGAGGGGAGGUGGAGACGACUGGCGACGGACGACGGCGGCAGGGGUGGGGCGGCGCUGCAGGCGCGCAGGACCUGGAUGCGCCACCGAUGCCGAGGGAGUUGGGGAAUGGGGAGUGCCGCACGCCCCCACCCACACAGCCACUCUCUAGGUCUAGGGUU